This 255-nucleotide long non-coding RNA is filed under the name Scleropages formosus (Asian bonytongue). RNAcentral describes it as "lncRNA (ENSSFOG00015025343.1)". Lineage: Eukaryota; Metazoa; Chordata; Actinopteri; Osteoglossiformes; Osteoglossidae. The record is from RNAcentral.
AGGACCGCACCGUGCUUCGAGUGAUCUCUCUGUGAGAGAGAUUGGGACUGGGAGAAGGGAUGGAUGAGCAGAAAUCAAACUGUGAGGAGAAUGAUUCUGAAGCAGCAGCUGAUGGCAGCACACCUCCAGAGAACCCUAUCCCAUCUGAUGGGGAGAAAGAGCCCCCAGAGACAGUCAUGGACACUUCUAAUGCACCUUUGUGAGUACCUCAUCUUUUAAGUAGUAAAGUUCUGAUUUUACUCUCAGUAAGAAUUC